GGUUGAUCCUGCCAGUACAAUAUGCUUGUCUCAAAGAUUAAGCCAUGCACGUCUAAGUAUAAGUACCUUAUACAGCGAAACUGCGUACAGCUCAUUAAAUCAGUUAUUAUUCCUUUGAAGAUGGCUUACUACAAGGAUACCCGUAGUAAUUCUAGAGCUAAUACUUGCAUAGGAUUCCUCUCUCAAGGAGGAAUGCGGUUAUUAGAUCCGAGCCUGGGCGUGCAGCAAUGUACGUAUUUUGGUGAAUCAUGGUAACUGUGCGGACCUCCUGCAAAGGAGGCGAUUCAUUCAAA
Molecule: ribosomal RNA, 293 nt
Filed under: uncultured eukaryote
Lineage: Eukaryota
Description: partial 18S ribosomal RNA
Rfam family: Eukaryotic small subunit ribosomal RNA
Source: RNAcentral